CCUACGGGGGGCAGCAGUGGGGAAUAUUGGGCAAUGGGCGCAAGCCUGACCCAGCAACGCCGCGUGAAGGAAGAAGGCUUUCGGGUUGUAAACUUCUUUUCUCAGGGACGAAGCAAGUGACGGUACCUGAGGAAUAAGCCACGGCUAACUACGUGCCAGCAGCCGCGGUAAUACGUAGGUGGCAAGCGUUAUCCGGAUUUACUGGGCGUAAAGGGCGCGUAGGCGGGUAUGCAAGUUAGAUGUGAAAACCAUAGGCUCAACCUUGGGCCUGCAUUUGAAACUGUUUUACUUGAGUACUGGAGGGGCAGCCGGAAUUCCUAGUGUAGCGGUGGAAUGCGUAGAUAUUAGGAGGAACACCAGUGGCGAAGGCGGGCUGCUAGACAGUAACUGACGCUGAGGCGCGAAAGCGUGGGGAGCAAACAGGAUUAGAUACCCUGGUAGUC
RNAcentral lists this ribosomal RNA (443 nucleotides) under uncultured bacterium. Its description in RNAcentral is "partial 16S ribosomal RNA". It matches the Rfam family "Bacterial small subunit ribosomal RNA", at positions 338 to 795 of the family's 1533-position model. The record is from RNAcentral.